This 433-nucleotide ribosomal RNA is filed under the name uncultured bacterium. RNAcentral describes it as "partial 16S ribosomal RNA". It matches the Rfam family "Bacterial small subunit ribosomal RNA", at positions 29 to 507 of the family's 1533-position model. The record is from RNAcentral.
AGCGAACGCUGGCGGCAGGCCUAACACAUGCAAGUCGAACGAACUCUUCGGAGUUAGUGGCGGACGGGUGAGUAACACGUGGGAACGUGCCUUUAGGUUCGGCAUAACUCAGGGAAACUUGUGCUAAUACCGAAUGUGCCCUUCGGGGGAAAGAUUUAUCGCCUUUAGAGCGGCCCGCGUCUGAUUAGCUAGUUGGUGAGGUAAAGGCUCACCAAGGCGACGAUCAGUAGCUGGGCUGAGAGGAUGAUCAGCCACAUUGGGACUGAGACACGGCCCAAACUCCUACGGGAGGCAGCAGUGGGGAAUCUUGCGCAAUGGGCGAAAGCCUGACGCAGCCAUGCCGCGUGAAUGAUGAAGGUCUUAGGAUUGUAAAAUUCUUUCACCGGGGACGAUAAUGACGGUACCCGGAGAAGAAGCCCCGGCUAACUUCGUG